This 497-nucleotide ribosomal RNA is filed under the name uncultured bacterium. RNAcentral's name for it is "partial 16S ribosomal RNA". It matches the Rfam family "Bacterial small subunit ribosomal RNA", at positions 28 to 507 of the family's 1533-position model. The record is from RNAcentral.
GAUGAACGCUGGCGGCGUGCCUAAUACAUGCAAGUCGAGCGAACAGACGAGGAGCUUGCUCCUCUGACGUUAGCGGCGGACGGGUGAGUAACACGUGGAUAACCUACCUAUAAGACUGGGAUAACUUCGGGAAACCGGAGCUAAUACCGGAUAAUAUAUUGAACCGCAUGGUUCAAUAGUGAAAGACGGUUUUGCUGUCACUUAUAGAUGGAUCCGCGCUGCAUUAGCUAGUUGGUAAGGUAACGGCUUACCAAGGCAACGAUGCGUAGCCGACGUGAGAGGGUGGUCGGCCACACUGGAACUGAGACACGGUCCAGACUCCUACGGGAGGCAGCAGUAGGGAAUCUUCCGCAAUGGGCGAAAGCCUGACGGAGCAACGCCGCGUGAGUGAUGAAGGUCUUCGGAUCGUAAAACUCUGUUAUUAGGGAAGAACAAAUGUGUAAGUAACUGUGCACGUCUUGACGGUACCUAAUCAGAAAGCCACGGCUAACUACGUG